UUGACCAGCGCUGUAUAAAAAUGAAAGUGGAGGAAGAAUACCUACAACUCCUGCCUUGUAGCAAAUGACAUUCUUGGAAAUUUGUCCUUCUCAGCCAGCCGAUCCCUCUUCCCCGGAGCCCUCGCUGUUUCACAUCUCCGGCUCCAAGGGCUGCCUGGAUUAGUGUAUAAAAUGAAGCAAUGAAAUGAUUCCCUUUGUGAUGCAUCCUUAUUGGAAUUGGGGGAGUGGAGCAUUACAACACAAGCCUGGAUGGCCACAGAGCCAUCUUCCACCAACCGGCCUGUAGAAAGAACAAGGGAGAGAAGAAGACACCAGACCUGCUCCAGUUGACUAUCCCCCUCUUCCACCAACUGCCCUGUGAGAAAGAGCAAGAGAGGGAAAUGAAAAAGACAACAUCAGAGCCCACUUUAGCUCCAGCUAAAUGGCCCCUUCUUUCUCUCCCUGCAUCAACUGACUCCAACAGCCCUGCGGGAAGGAUCCUGAUAUAUUGGCAGAUGCUGAAGUUGCCUUAUUUUAUCUUGAUUGUAUUUGCAAGCCACCUUGGAAGGAUUUGGAUCCUGAAAGGCAGGAUAUACUUCACACCAGGGGGGAGCUCAGUACGCCACCUGAGCACCACAUGCAGCCCUGACCCCACCCCAAGCUGCAUUUUUUUUUUUUUUGCAUCCCUGCCCCCUGCAGCAUUUGCCACUCAAGCCUUCAUCCCACGUUCACUUUUAUUGUGGUUCUCCCUCGAAUUAUCCUACUUCGUUUAUAUAGUGCUUAUAUAUCAUAUGAAAACUUGCAAACUUA
Molecule: long non-coding RNA, 789 nt
Organism: Elgaria multicarinata webbii
Lineage: Eukaryota; Metazoa; Chordata; Lepidosauria; Squamata; Anguidae
Exons: 2
Source: RefSeq, a predicted model, not a curated record